Molecule: long non-coding RNA, 430 nt
Filed under: Amborella trichopoda
Lineage: Eukaryota; Viridiplantae; Streptophyta; Magnoliopsida; Amborellales; Amborellaceae
Description: long non-coding RNA (ATRI_LNC004317)
Source: RNAcentral
AGGCAAGCAUUUUUCUUAUAGAAUCUUUUUAAUUUGUGGAUGUUUGGAACUAAAAACAACUAAUUCAGGGAUUAUAUUGCAGGGUAGACAAUGUGCUGGUGGUGCAGAAUCUAACGGCAAGAACAGGACUGAAGUCCCAGACGAGAAUAAAGAUGAUGGUGAGACAGAUGAUGAUGAUGAAGAUGAGGAUGAAGAUGAUGAUCAUGAUGAUGAUGGUGGUAAUGAGGAUGACUUGUCUGGUGAAGAAGGGAAUGAAAACGAAGGCGAUGAUGCAGAAGAUGAUGUCGAGGCAAAUGGCGAUGGUGGGAGUGAUGAUGAUGAUGAAGAUGACGAUGACGAUGAUGACGAUGAGGAUGGUGAUGAAGACGAUGAGGAUGACGAGGAGGAUGAAGAGGAGGACGAGGAGAUACCAGAGCCGCCUACUAAGAAG